GACGAACGCUGGCGGCGUGCCUCAAACAUGCAAGUCGAGCGGACGGAGACCGAACCGCAAGGGGAGGUUGAAGUUAGCGGCGAACGGGUGAGUAACACGUGGGUAACCUACCCUAAAGUCUGGGACAACGGCCCGAAAGGGCCGCUAAUACCGGAUAAUGUCUUCGGGUCGCAUGGCCUGGGGAAGAAAGCCGAAAGGCGCUUAUGGAUGGGCUCGCGUCCCAUCAGCUAGUUGGUAAGGUAACGGCUUACCAAGGCGACGACGGGUAGCCGGUCUGAGAGGAUGGUCGGCCACACUGGGACUGAGAUACGGCCCAGACUCCUACGGGAGGCAGCAGUUGGGAAUAUUGGGCAAUGGGCGAAAGCCUGACCCAGCGACGCCGCGUGAGGGAAGAAGGCCUUCGGGUCGUAAACCUCUGUCAUCGGGGACGAAGAAAGUGACGGUACCCGAGGAGGAAGCCCCUGCUAACUACGUGCCAGCAGCCGCGGUAAAAGUACACGUCG
Molecule: ribosomal RNA, 503 nt
Filed under: uncultured bacterium
Lineage: Bacteria
Description: bacterial SSU rRNA
Rfam family: Bacterial small subunit ribosomal RNA
Source: RNAcentral